AAAAAAUUGACCAAGUCACCAGUGCUGGAUGGCUAUGCUGAUGAGGGACCCCAUGAGGAACUCAUACAUGAUGAGCACAAACCUGACCACGUUACGAGGGUUAAACAGCAGCCCCAAAAGACUCUUCGUUCUCGGAAGCAACAAAGGAGUAAACCCAAAGCCCCAAUUUUUGCAAUAAGCGGUCUCAUCACACCUGAGAAUGCACAUCUCAUGAAAUUUUUAUUUAGGAAGAAUGGAAUUGGAGAAGACAAGUGGAGUGAAGUAGUAGCUAGUUAUGGUGACUACGCCGUUACUAGAAAGGAAUUUCAGUGUCUCUCUCCAGCAACUCCACUAUCUUGCAAGG
Molecule: long non-coding RNA, 343 nt
Organism: Rosa chinensis
Lineage: Eukaryota; Viridiplantae; Streptophyta; Magnoliopsida; Rosales; Rosaceae
Exons: 3
Source: RefSeq, a predicted model, not a curated record